This 496-nucleotide ribosomal RNA is filed under the name uncultured bacterium. RNAcentral describes it as "partial 16S ribosomal RNA". It matches the Rfam family "Bacterial small subunit ribosomal RNA", at positions 29 to 507 of the family's 1533-position model. The record is from RNAcentral.
AUGAACGCUGGCGGCGUGCCUAAUACAUGCAAGUCGAGCGAACAGAUGAGGAGCUUGCUCCUCUGACGUUAGCGGCGGACGGGUGAGUAACACGUGGAUAACCUACCUAUAAGACUGGGAUAACUUCGGGAAACCGGAGCUAAUACCGGAUAAUAUAUUGAACCGCAUGGUUCAAUAGUGAAAGACGGUUUUGCUGUCACUUAUAGAUGGAUCCGCGCCGCAUUAGCUAGUUGGUAAGGUAACGGCUUACCAAGGCAACGAUGCGUAGCCGACCUGAGAGGGUGAUCGGCCACACUGGAACUGAGACACGGUCCAGACUCCUACGGGAGGCAGCAGUAGGGAAUCUUCCGCAAUGGGCGAAAGCCUGACGGAGCAACGCCGCGUGAGUGAUGAAGGUCUUCGGAUCGUAAAACUCUGUUAUUAGGGCAGAACAAAUGUGUAAGUAACUAUGCACGUCUUGACGGUACCUAAUCAGAAAGCCACGGCUAACUACGUG